Non-coding RNA from Phoenix dactylifera (date palm), 165 nucleotides. Lineage: Eukaryota; Viridiplantae; Streptophyta; Magnoliopsida; Arecales; Arecaceae. The record is from RefSeq and is a predicted model, not a curated record.
CCAACAGCCCGACGAGCCCCAGCAGCACGAGUCUCAGUCUACGCACGUGCCACCUGUUGAUUGUCCAGACAUGGAUGACGUGCACAUCCAAGAUGGACUGGGGAGAGUGAGGAGGACACGAGGACCCACUCGAGCACAGGACGUGUGGAGCCUACGUGAGGAUGA